UACGAGCGGCCCAAACGUUAUUCGGAAUUACUGGGCUUAAAGAGUUCGUAGGCGGCGCAGAAAGUAGGGUGUGAAAGCCCUCGGCUCAACCGAGGAAUUGCGCUCUAAACUACUGUGCUUGAGGGACCUAGAGGUGAGCGGAACUGAUGGUGGAGCGGUGAAAUGCGUUGAUAUCAUCAGGAACACCGGAGGCGAAGGCGGCUCACUGGGGGUCUUCUGACGCUGAGGAACGAAAGCCAGGGGAGCGAACGGG
RNAcentral lists this ribosomal RNA (253 nucleotides) under uncultured bacterium. Its description in RNAcentral is "partial 16S ribosomal RNA". It matches the Rfam family "Bacterial small subunit ribosomal RNA", at positions 524 to 776 of the family's 1533-position model. The record is from RNAcentral.